RNA transcript from Gossypium arboreum, 3332 nucleotides. It is a transcript of the gene named peptide-N4-(N-acetyl-beta-glucosaminyl)asparagine amidase A-like, with no coding region annotated. The record is from RefSeq and is a predicted model, not a curated record. NCBI's taxonomy places the organism in Eukaryota, Viridiplantae, Streptophyta, Magnoliopsida, Malvales, Malvaceae. The transcript has 2 exons.
AUACAUAAUGAUAAACACUGAUAAUGGCUGAAAUGAUGUAAAACAAAGGCUACAAUACCUCAAUCAUGAUUAAUUUUCCCAUGAUACAUACCAUUUCUUGUCAUUUUUGAUGCUUUUUCUCUUGCUGACCUUACAAGAGAAGAUGAGCUUAGCCCAUCUGUAAUGUAAUGUCAUCAGUGCACUUUCUACUCUAUCAGAUUUGUUUUUUUUUUUCCCAUGCAUUGCCAAAGCUAUCCCUUGUUUCUCUCCCCUAAUAAUUCCCAGUUCUAGCUUUUUCUAUGAUGUAUUUUUCUCAGAGAAAAUCUUAAAUCAAAAUCAUAGACUUUGUUUUUAACUCCAUAAGUUUAACUUAUUUGGUACCCUUUAAAUCAGCUACCCUUUCUUACCAAACACCAACCACACCAUCCAUGGCUUCCUCUUUCUUCCCUUUGCUCUUCUUUCUUCCCCUUCUAUUUCUUGACCCUCUCUUCUGCAAAGCCAAUCUUCACCAUUCCAAAACCUUCCUCAGAUCAUCCCUUAUUUCCCAACCAUUAACCAAUGCCACCAUUCUACCAACUCUCUUUUUUGAAGUCACCAAACCCAUCGAUGUCCCAACUACCAGGCCCUGUACCCUCUCUGUCCUUCAACAUGACUUUGGUUUCACUUAUGGCAAACCUCCUGUUUUGGCAAACUACAGCUUCCCAUCCGAUUGCCCAUAUCAGGAAUUUUCCAAGAUUGUCCUGGAAUGGAAUGCUACCUGCAAAGGAAGGCAAUUUGACAGGAUUUUUGGAGUUUGGUUAUCUGGAGUGGAGCUUUUGAGAAGCUGCACAGCUGAACCUAGAGCUACUGGGAUCAUUUGGAGUGUGAAAAAGGAUAUUACAAGGUAUUCCUCAUUGCUUUUAUCCAACAAGACUCAAACUUUUGCUGUUUAUAUGGGAAAUCUUGUUGACAAAACUUAUACCGGUGUUUACCAUGUCAAUGUCACUCUUUAUUUUUACCCUGCUGUGGAAAAAAUGAACCUUUAUGAGGAAAAGGCAAGAAAUUUAGGGUCUGGGUUUGGUUCUAAAGCCGAUUUGAUCAUACCCUUUUCGCUUGAUUUGCCAUUGAAUGAUGGGUUGUGGUAUGAGAUCGAGAAUUCUACUGAUGUUAAAGUGAAGGAAUUUGAAAUUCCUCAAAAUGUUUAUAGGGCUGUAUUGGAGGUGUACGUGUCAUUUCAUGAGAAUGAUGAGUUUUGGUAUGGGAAUCUUCCAAACGAGUAUAUUGCUGCCAAUAAUCUUACAGGUUUUGCUGGAAAUGGACCUUUUAGAGAGGUAGUGGUUAGUUUGGAUGAUGAAGUAGUUGGUGCCAUUUGGCCUUUUACUGUGGUUUACACAGGAGGAAUUAAUCCGCUCUUAUGGCGACCCAUUAGUGGUAUUGGUUCAUUUGAUCUCCCCACUUAUGAUAUCGAAAUUAGUCCCUUUUUAGGGAGUUUAUUGGAUGGGAAAAAACAUAAACUAAGUUUUGGUGUUACAAAUGCCUUGAAUGUGUGGUACAUUGAUGCCAAUUUGCAUCUAUGGUUAGAUAGCAAUAGUGCAAAGACCGAAGGGAAGCUUUUGCAACAUAAAGUGGCUCCUCUUGCUGUUUCUUCUGUGUUAGAUUUUAAGGGAUUGAAUGGAACCUUUGUUACUAAUACAUCCAGGUUCGUAUCCUCUAGUGGAUGGGUCAAGUCCACUUAUGGGACGGUCACAACUGAAUCCAUUCAAGAUUUAAGGUAUAGCAACUCCAUGUUGAUGGGCAAGGAUGGGAAUCUGCAGAUUGUGAAUCAGACGAUCCAUUUUGAUGACAGUGUUUAUGCAAAGUCACCAGCUUCUAAUGUCGAAUCAAAGAAAUCACUCAAGAGGUUUCAUUUAUACUUAUACACUGAUGAUGUUGAUCAAGGAAAUGGAACUCUAUCGAUGGUAGCUAAUGUCACAUUAGGAUUCAAUGAGAAGAAGUUUAAAGAUGCCGAUGCCAGGUCGCCUAGCAGUUCACUCAGAAAUUUGCAGAAAGGAAAGGGUGUAAUAAUUAUAAAAGACAACCUGGUUGUGAGUGGAGUCGGAAGUACCCAACAAUCAUAUAAUUACGAUAGUAGUAAAUUUUGCUACUCUAGAAACAUAAGCAGCUCAAACUACACCAUUCUUCACGAUGAAGUGCAAAACACAUGUAAUAAAAGAGCAAAAUCUCAUUUUGGAUACGGUCUUAGCAGAAGGUGGUCAUUUCCAGCUAGAAGAGCUUUUCUAACGUCUCAUGUAGUUGAUCCGAAUGGAAACUAGUAUUUUGGCUCCUUUGAUUCUUGACUUGCUUUAUUUGGAGUUCUCGAAUUAGAUAAUCAAGAUUCGUGCAUAUGGAUACUCCAAAUAAAUAAGUGUUUCUACUCUUGCAUCCUUUUCUUUUUAUCACAUUUUUUGCAAUUGAAUGAACUUAGGUGAUUCUUCUAUCUGACCUUAAGUUUGACAACUCAAAUCUAAAACUAAGCUGUUGUAGUUUAUAACGAACUUCGUUGGAUCCUAGAAGUAUUAUUUUGCAACCAAAUGCCAUGUAUAAUCUACCUGAAUUAAAUUCCAAAUAUAUUCAGAUACUUUUGGUGUACUGUACACUGUCUAUCCUUUUGACUUUAUACCACAGUUUAAAUUUCUCUAUGAAUAAUCUAGAUAAAGUUGAAUUUUCAACCAUUCAUCUCUGCCAGUCCCAUAAUCUAGUUCAUGCUACAUUAGAGCAUGUGGAACUGUCUUUGCUAGUACCAGAUAUAUGCAAAACGAUGGAAAUGUUUUUUUCUCUAACAGAGCUAAAUAUGUGCGGAUAUCUUUCAUUUAGAUUGUUAAACUUGGUCUUCCCUCACCUGUCGGGUCUUCCAUCCGAAGUUCAUUUGCUCGGGUCUGCCAUUGGAUGUCUUGCCAAAAGACAGAAUCCCAAGACUUGAGAAUAGGAUAUGGAAAAAGAAGUAGCUGAGGCUGCUUAGAAGCCACUAGACAUUGCAUCGGCUCUUAUUAGACUAUUAUUUACAGUUUAACAGCCUCAAGGAUUUCCAUUUCUUCCUCAUACAAUACUGUUUAUGCACCAAUAUGCAUCAUUGUAAAACAUGAAUCUCUCUUACUAAUAAUAUUCAUUGUCUUUUUUGUUGCAGCUAGCGUUCAUGGUUUCCGUUUAUGUGAAAAGGUUUUAUGGGACGUAGCUUCAGGGAAGAGCAAAUAUGCCAAUUCCAUUCUCUUCUCACAAGUCGUCGGUGAUAUUAUGCUUCUAAUAAUUUCCUCUCUUUUGUUGAUAAACUUAUUUUGUGAAAUAUGUUAAACCCUAAUUGGAAAUUAUAUAAAUUAGAUUUCUGAUUUUUAAUUCAA